AGAGACGCAGCAGACAUCAGUGGAGUUCCCCAGCGCCGCCGAGCCGGGGACGUCUGGAGCCACGUGACCUUACCUUCCAGCAGAAAUCCUCUGAGGUUAGCGUGUGGAUGGAGCAGAGCAGAGGUUAGUGCGCGUUAGAGGAGUUAAAGGUUAACUGCAGCUGAAGGAAAUGAUCUGGAUUGUUUGGGAAAAGCAAGCUUCAGAGGAACAAUGCUGUGAAAAUGGCAUCGACUGGCAGAUUUCUGAAUGGUUACCAUCAGAAUAAACACAAAAUGCAGUUUUUAAGUGACGGCUUCAUUCAGACCGUUGGCCCUGUCUUCUUGGCUGAUUGGGUUUAAUUCAAACUGUUUAAGUUCAAACCUUGACUAGGCCUCUUAAAACUCUGAUUUUCUUUGUGGAGCCAAUCAGAAGUGGACUUAAUUGUGUGAAAUGGAUAAUCCUACAGUCUUAAAAAAUGACUUGGUUGCCCUUUCCAGACUAAUGGAUGUCAAAGAGUUUUUCUAAUCUGUUCCUGGAUUUUUUGUUAGAUGUUUUGCUUUUAGUCUUCUGGACAAAUUCUACUUAAGUUAUUUCCAAACGCUGCAGAUCUGGGGUUAAUCAGGCCAGGGUGAAGCUAGUGAUAUUUAACAAAAAUGUUAAUCAGUUAAUUUGCGAUGGAAAUUAAAAUUUGUAUUUGCAUGUAGGGAGUAAAUGCCUUUUCCUAGGACUGUAAAACAGAUUAAUUGGAGUUAGUAGUGAAUUGUUUUUUCUUUUUAUACAUUACAAUUGAUCCAAGCAAUGCAUUAAAAUCAGGGUUAUUGUGGUGCCUUAAAUAUGUUCACUUUCACGGACGCACCCUAGGCUCAAAUACUCCUUUUUAUGAGUUUGAAGCCAAUCUGUGCUCCAAUUUCAUACCCAUGUACCAAACUACAAAAAA
This is a long non-coding RNA of Fundulus heteroclitus (mummichog), 916 nucleotides long. RefSeq lists it as uncharacterized. NCBI's taxonomy places the organism in Eukaryota, Metazoa, Chordata, Actinopteri, Cyprinodontiformes, Fundulidae. The transcript has 2 exons. The record is from RefSeq and is a predicted model, not a curated record.